This is a non-coding RNA of Mycena vulgaris, 87 nucleotides long. The record is from the annotation of a GenBank genome assembly. Lineage: Eukaryota; Fungi; Basidiomycota; Agaricomycetes; Agaricales; Mycenaceae.
AGCAGCAUGGCGCAGAUGGAAGCGCGCGGGGCCCAUAUUUGUGAUUAUCCAACCCCGAGGUCACUCGAUCGAAACGAGUUGCUGCUA